AGGAGUCCCAGAUCGGGAAGGAGGGCUGGGCCACCCCUGUCUCUCACUGCCUGCCCCAUGACCAGGCGUCGUGGUCAUGAUGCUGACCUCCGAGCCAGAGCUCACCCUGGCUGAGCUGAGGCAGAGCUGAUCUGUUUCUCUGCCAAAGAUGUCAUCAACAAGGCCUGGUUCUUCCCUGAGGACCAGCUCGGGAACCCCAACCUGGUGGCCACACCGCAACCCUCCACACCUAUGGAGCAGGCCCGAGAGGACAGUCACAUGUGCCUGGCCCCCAAAGCGUUUGGGGGUGAGGGUGUCUACGCUGUUGCCAGAUGCUGCCUGCCUCCCCGGGCCAACUGCAGCAUCCAUACAGCUUUGCCAGCUGGGCCUGGUGUGCAGACCCAUGCCUGAUGCCCCCAGCAGGGCUACGUGCUCACAGCUUCAGGAUCAGACCCUAAAAAGAUAGACUGAUAAGGACGGAAGAGGAGAGACAGAAAGUCCCUGAGCAUCCGAGUGUCUGAGCCGGUCCUCCCCUGCCCCAGGCUGCUGCUCCCACUGGGCGGUGGUCCCUGGCACCAGUGGUCAGCUCCUGUGACUGUCCUGGCCCGGGUGGUGGGGCUUAGCCACGGAGGGAGUGUGCAGGAUACUGGGCCCUGAGAGAGGAGCCCACAGCUCUGAUGGACUGGCUGUGGCGGGGGCAGUGGAGGGGGGGCUGCCAAGGUUUUUUCGCUUUGCCCCUGAUGGGGAUGGUGAGAGCUGCGGGAAGCCUGGUGUCUGGGGAAGAAGAGGAGCUCGU
RNAcentral lists this long non-coding RNA (775 nucleotides) under Bos indicus x Bos taurus (hybrid cattle). Its description in RNAcentral is "lncRNA (ENSBIXG00005017704.1)". Lineage: Eukaryota; Metazoa; Chordata; Mammalia; Artiodactyla; Bovidae. The record is from RNAcentral.